This 250-nucleotide ribosomal RNA is filed under the name uncultured bacterium. Its description in RNAcentral is "partial 16S ribosomal RNA". It matches the Rfam family "Bacterial small subunit ribosomal RNA", at positions 28 to 292 of the family's 1533-position model. The record is from RNAcentral.
GAUGAACGCUGGCGGCGUGGAUAAGGCAUGCAAGUAGAACGAUCCAUGUUUACUUCGGUGAAUAUGGGGAGUUGCAGACGAGGUAGUAACACGUAGGAACGUCCCCCAAAGUCAGGAAUAACGCAUCGAAAGGUGUGCUAAUACUUGAUGGUCCCGCAAGGGUAAAGAUUUAUCGCUUUGGGAACGGCCUGCGCAGUAUCAGCUAGUUGGUGAGGUAAAAGCUCACCAAGGCUAUGACGCUUAGGGGAGG